This 482-nucleotide ribosomal RNA is filed under the name uncultured bacterium. RNAcentral's name for it is "partial 16S ribosomal RNA". It matches the Rfam family "Bacterial small subunit ribosomal RNA", at positions 28 to 507 of the family's 1533-position model. The record is from RNAcentral.
GAUGAACGCUGGCGGCGUGCUUAACACAUGCAAGUCGAACGAAGCACUUUAUUUGAUUUCCUUCGGGGACUGAUUAUUUUGUGACUGAGUGGCGGACGGGUGAGUAACGCGUGGGUAACCUGCCUUGUACAGGGGGAUAACAGUUGGAAACGGCUGCUAAUACCGCAUAAGCGCACGGCAUCGCAUGAUGCAGUGUGAAAAACUCCGGUGGUAUAAGAUGGACCCGCGUUGGAUUAGCUAGUUGGUGAGGUAACGGCCCACCAAGGCGACGAUCCAUAGCCGACCUGAGAGGGUGACCGGCCACAUUGGGACUGAGACACGGCCCAAACUCCUGCGGGAGGCAGCAGUGGGGAAUAUUGCACAAUGGGCGAAAGCCUGAUGCAGCGACGCCGCGUGAGCGAAGAAGUAUUUCGGUAUGUAAAGCUCUAUCAGCAGGGAAGAUAAUGACGGUACCUGACUAAGAAGCACCGGCUAAAUACGUG